This is a long non-coding RNA of Chinchilla lanigera (long-tailed chinchilla), 2763 nucleotides long. RefSeq lists it as uncharacterized. The record is from RefSeq and is a predicted model, not a curated record. Lineage: Eukaryota; Metazoa; Chordata; Mammalia; Rodentia; Chinchillidae. The transcript has 3 exons.
UGUCGGUGGUGGGGCUUUUACAUUGUUAAUAAUCCUUUAUCAAAAUAAAUGAACAUUUUAAUAUUUUGAAAAAUCACAAGGACUCCUUACAUUUGGAUGGGAAAGCACUAAAAUUGCAAUGUACACAGUUAUUUAUUAUUUUAGUAAUUACUAAACAAUGCAGUGCAAGCCCCCAAAUUCUUCUGUUCCUGUUACCCUUAUGAUAUUAGGAGUGGAGAUGUAUAAUGUUCUUUUCCUUUUGUAAUAGCUCAUGAGAAGUGUGUAUGACUUAGAUCCCUUGUAGCCUAUGCAACCAACUCUGGCCAGAUGCGGAGAGCUCUGUCCAAGCUUCUUUGUUUUAUUGUUUUUAACAGUACCAAAAAGUUUAUUUGAAAAGUGCGGGGUGAAUGGGUAUGGAAGAAACCAGCUUUGCAGAGCAAACUUGGGCUGAACAAAGGAAAAAGAGGGUAAAAGCAAAAAUAAAAUUACACUCUUGGUCUGAGAAACGUGCAUGGGCUAUCUUGGGAACUUGUGCUAGCAGCUUUCCGUGAUGGCCAGUCUUCUUUUAUGCCAUCCACAUCUUGUGGGAGCUCCCGAGAAGUUCUACAUGUGGAUUCCCCCCAUUGCUGUGAGAUCUUGUAAUAGAACGGUCAGCUCAUUUUCCCCAGUCAGCGUUGCCAAGCCCUAGCUCCUACAUUGUUUCCUCCCUGAUAAACCUAAAAGCUUCUUUGACUUAAAGGACAAUUCCAACAGGAAAGUUGAGCAACUAUUCAGAUGAUGAUGGAAUUUAUGUGUAAAUGUACUUACUUUCAGCUGCAUUGAGUAGUUUUAGAAUACUAGUAUAUUCAACUAUUCAUUCAAAAGAUAUUUGUGGUGCACCUACUAUGCACUGUGCUAAGUGCCAGGUGUAUGUGACACCGGAGGCCAAGUGCCAAGGGCUGUGACUCCAUUGGAGGGAAAGGGAGGCAGUGUGGCAGAACGCAGGAGUAGCAAGUAUUGUGUUUAAAUCCUGUCUUUCCAGCUUUCUGAAUUUGCUAAGGUAGUUAACCCCUAAGCCUAAUGCAAACCAAAAUUAAUUUUUAUUUUACAGGGCUGCUGUGGAGAAUAAUGUACAAACCGCUGAAUGCAGCGGUUGGUACAAAGCCAGCCCUCCAGCUCCCUGUCCUCAAGGCUCCCCCUCUCCAUGCUCAUCAUUGGCACAUAGCUCCUGUCCUCCCCAUCAGGGGAUGGGCAUAGUGACAGGUGAUAAGUGUGACAGAAGGAAUAGACAAUGUAUAUAACAAAACAUAUGAGGGUCUGCAGGACUGGGAGUUAAAAGUAUGCUAUGUAAUAUUGAUUUAACAUAACAUCAGCUAUAUUUCUGUUUGCAAGAAGCUUAUAUUGUAAGUUUGGGUUAGUAUUUUAUGAAGGUUUCAGGCUGGUAAGAACAGCUUAUAAAAGGACCCCCAAGACUUUAUUAUGAGCAGGGAUAUCCUUGUAGUAACAUUUUAUUUAACCCCCAUACCACCUCUACAGCAUAGGCCACAUCAGAAAGAGACCUACUUUUCUGACCAUUCGUUACACUUCUUCCUCUUGUCCUUCUUAAGCUUCAUUAUACAACCAGUAGAGACUGUUGCUAAUUAUUCUGGAGAUAAAUACACAAAUCAAGAGGAAUCCAGGGAAAAGUGAAAUAGAAGAAAAAGAGCAGAUCUAGAAGAAAAUACAGCGCAACCAUUUCCUCUCUCUGUAGAACCUAAGACCUGCUUUGUGAUGGCACAGCCCAGACCAGUCAGGAUCUUCUUGCGCAUGCCAAUUUCUAAGGUGGCCUGGCCAAACUAUUCUCUUGUGUGGUUUAGACUGUUCCAGAGGUUUAUAAAAAUAAUAUUUUAAACCAGCUUCAUUUUCUUCUUCUGGGGCGAACUGAGUUGUAGCAUUGCUCUGCAGGUGGGACUGUCCUGGCUUGCCAGGAUUUUCCACCAGAGGGCCCUGUCUGUCCCCAAGACUUUGAUUUUGAAACAGGUUUUACAAAACUGGAACAUCUCAGUCUGUUGCAAGAUCUUGUUCCAUUGAAAGCUACUUUGAUUUUAACAGAACCAUUGGUCACAAGCCUUGUUCAUCUGCAAUGCUGUGGAGAGAAAAAUAAGAUCAUACACAUUCAUAGAAGGAGAACCUGAAAACUGAGCCCUAAGGAGAGGAGCAAGCAGUUCAUGUCUUCAUUAAGUGAGAAGACAUGCCCCGGAGAGACAGGGGCAGGGCAGUCCUGAGCCCAAAGGCCACCGUAAGAAUUCCAGGGUACUGACUCUAUCCCAAGUUUUCUCUUCUGGAAUGCCUAAAGAGCUCUUGCUUCUGACUUUUUGUUUUUGUUUUUGUUUACAGGGCAUUAGGACACUAGGAAUUUGACUGAGGGAGCUCAUCGGGGCAGAAGGGGGAGUGUGCAGAACAAGGGUGUUCAGUUCACCUACUGGCUCAGUGGCUACUGCAGUAACCGCCAAGAUGGUGACGUAAACCCUUUUCCUCUCAGAGUGCCGGAGAUUUUUCUUUAGGAGGAGACUCCCAGAUGGAGUUACCCUUGUAUGGAGGACCCUAGAGGAUGCUAUAUAUUGCAGAAAACCCACUACAGUGCUGGCCUUAAAGAAGAAAUUGAAAAUGCAUGUGCAGCAAUCUCGAUGGACCAAGGUUACCCCUGCUGUAGUUUGCCAUCCUAGUAAAGGUCUGAAAGCUGAUGACCGCUGCUUUGAGCACCUCUUGUAAUUGUAGAGCCAAAAGUAAUUUAUGUUAAUCUCAUGAUGUCUCAAUAAAUUUAGU